GGAAGGGUGGCAGAGUGGUCGAUUGCACCGGUCUUGAAAACCGGCGAUGUGCAAGCAUCCGUGGGUUCGAAUCCCACCCCUUCCGCCA
This 88-nucleotide transfer RNA is filed under the name Oxalobacter formigenes. Its description in RNAcentral is "tRNA-Ser". It matches the Rfam family "tRNA". Rfam says of the family: Transfer RNA (tRNA) molecules are approximately 80 nucleotides in length. Lineage: Bacteria; Pseudomonadati; Pseudomonadota; Betaproteobacteria; Burkholderiales; Oxalobacteraceae. The record is from RNAcentral. RNAcentral also lists the same sequence under 18 other names.